This 73-nucleotide transfer RNA is filed under the name Cautires sp. UPOL 000068. RNAcentral's name for it is "partial tRNA-Glu". Lineage: Eukaryota; Metazoa; Arthropoda; Insecta; Coleoptera; Lycidae. The record is from RNAcentral.
UUGAAAACUAUUUAUAUAAGUUUAAAAAAAAACAUUACACUUUCAUUGUAAAAUUAAACAUUUAUGUUAUAUA